Molecule: ribosomal RNA, 403 nt
Filed under: uncultured bacterium
Lineage: Bacteria
Description: partial 16S ribosomal RNA
Rfam family: Bacterial small subunit ribosomal RNA
Source: RNAcentral
GACGAACGCUGGCGGCGUGCCUAAUACAUGCAAGUCGAACGCAGUGGGGACGGGUGAGUAACACGUGGGUAACCUCCCAUCAGAGGGGAUAACACUUGGCAACAGGUGCUAAACCGAUACUGAUGGAUGGACCCGCGGUGCAUUAGCUAGUGGGUGAGGUAACGGCUCACCAAGGCCACGAUGCAUAGCCGAUCUGAGAGGGUGAUCGGCCACACUGGGACUGAGACACGGCCCAGACUCCUACGGGAGGCAGCAGUAGGGAAUCUUCGGCAAUGGGCGAAAGUCUGACCGAGCAAUGCCGCGGGAGUGAAGAAGGUUGUCGGGUCGUAAAACUCUGUUAUUAGGGAAGCGGUACCUAACCAGAAAGCCACGGCUAACUACGUGCCAGCAGCCGCGGUAAUAC